UUGAACAUUAGCAACUUUAUUGGCAGGAAAUUCAAACUCAUUCAAAGAAACCUUGGCAGUUUUCAAAUAACGAAGGAAACCGAGCUCAGAAGGAGCGAGGAACAUAAGGGAUUUACCAGUUCCCUUUGUUCCUCUAGCUGUACGACCUACACGAUGAAUAUAAUCUCGGGGGUCAUCAGGAGGAUCGUACUGCACGAUCCAGUCAACGGCUGGAAUAUCUAACCCGCGUGCAGCAACAUUGGUGCAAAG
Schizosaccharomyces pombe (fission yeast) is the source of this 249-nucleotide non-coding RNA. The record is from the annotation of a GenBank genome assembly. NCBI's taxonomy places the organism in Eukaryota, Fungi, Ascomycota, Schizosaccharomycetes, Schizosaccharomycetales, Schizosaccharomycetaceae.